AGGACUCCGCGUGAGGGAUNCGACCUUCGGGUUGUAACCUUCUUUCNCCAGGGACGAANCUUUGGUGACGGUCCUGGAGAAGAAGCNCCGCUAACUCCGUGCCAGCAGCCGCGGUAAUACGUAGGGUGCGAGGCUUGUCCGGAAUUAUUGGGCGUAAAGAUCUUGUAGUCGGUUUGUAAAGUCNACGGUGAAACCCCAGGUCUUAACCCUGNGUCUGCGGUGGGUACGGCCAUACUAGAGUGUGGUANNNGAGAGUGAAAUUCCUGAUGUACCGGUGAAAUGCGCAGAUAUCAGGAGGAACACCGAUGUCGAAGCCAGGUCUCUGGGCCAUUACUGACGCUNAGAAGCGAAAGCAUGGGGAGCGACCAGGAUUAGAUACCCUGGUAGUCCAUGCCGUAAACGUUGGGCGUUAGGUGUGGAAUUCAUUCCACGAGUUCCGUCCCGCAGCUAACGCAUUAAGCACUCCGCCUGGGGAGUUCGACCGCAAGGCUAAAACUCAAAGGAAUUGCCGGGGGCCCGCCCAAGCGGCGGAGCAUGCGGAUUAAUUCGAUCCAACGCGAAGAACCUUACCAAGGCUUGUCAUACACCGNAAUCAUGCAGAGAUGUGUGAGC
Molecule: ribosomal RNA, 612 nt
Filed under: bacterium RO_isolate_12
Lineage: Bacteria
Description: bacterial SSU rRNA
Rfam family: Bacterial small subunit ribosomal RNA
Source: RNAcentral